UGGGUAACCUGCCUCAAAGAGGGGGAUAGCCUCCCGAAAGGGAGAUUAAUACCGCAUAAUAUGUUUAGGUCGCAUGACUUUAACAUCAAAGGAUUUUCUUUUAGAAAUUCCACUUUGAGAUGGACCCGCGGCGCAUUAGCUAGUUGGUGAGGUAACGGCUCACCAAGGCAACGAUGCGUAGCCGACCUGAGAGGGUGAUCGGCCACAUUGGAACUGAGACACGGUCCAGACUCCGUAGGGAGG
Molecule: ribosomal RNA, 243 nt
Filed under: uncultured bacterium
Lineage: Bacteria
Description: partial 16S ribosomal RNA
Rfam family: Bacterial small subunit ribosomal RNA
Source: RNAcentral